RNAcentral lists this long non-coding RNA (305 nucleotides) under Hordeum vulgare. Its description in RNAcentral is "long non-coding RNA (HVUL_LNC004661)". Lineage: Eukaryota; Viridiplantae; Streptophyta; Magnoliopsida; Poales; Poaceae. The record is from RNAcentral.
CCAUAUCUUUCGCCAUUUCAUUCGCCUGCAGCCAGAAGAAGCCAGCUCUGAAUGCUUUGGUGACGAUUGCCCUUGAGGAGGCGUGAUGACCGCAGGUUCCCGAGUGAAUUUCCUCCAGGAUUAACUGUCCCUCCUUAGGGGAGAUGCAUCGUUGAAGGACGCCUGAAAUGCUUUCUUUGUACAACUAGCCAUCAAUGACAGUGAACGACUUUGACCUGCGGACGACCUGUCUGGCUUGGACUUCGUCUUUUGGUAAUUCUUGCCUCAGGAUGUAUGCAAUAAACGGCACAGUACAAUCGGGAAUG